Molecule: ribosomal RNA, 307 nt
Filed under: uncultured bacterium
Lineage: Bacteria
Description: bacterial SSU rRNA
Rfam family: Bacterial small subunit ribosomal RNA
Source: RNAcentral
GACGAACGCUGGCGGCACGCUUAACACAUGCAAGUCGAACGGUGAAGAGAAGCUUGCUUCUUGGAUCAGUGGCGGACGGGUGAGUAACACGUGAGCAACCUGCCUUUAAGAGGGGGAUAACGUUCGGAAACGAACGCUAAUACCGCAUAACAUAUGGGAUUCGCAUGUUUUCCAUAUCAAAGAUUUAUCGCUUAGAGAUGGGCUCGCGUCUGAUUAGCUAGUUGGUGAGGUAACGGCUCACCAAGGCGACGAUCAGUAGCCGGACUGAGAGGUUGAACGGCCACAUUGGGACUGAGACACGGCCCAG